This 392-nucleotide ribosomal RNA is filed under the name uncultured bacterium. RNAcentral's name for it is "partial 16S ribosomal RNA". It matches the Rfam family "Bacterial small subunit ribosomal RNA", at positions 523 to 918 of the family's 1533-position model. The record is from RNAcentral.
AUACGGAGGAUCCGAGCGUUAUCCGGAUUUAUUGGGUUUAAAGGGUGCGCAGGCGGCCAUUUAAGUCAGCGGUUAAAUCGUGGGGCUCAACCCCAUUCUGCCGUUGAUACUGGGUGGCUUGAUUGCGGUCGAGGUUGGCGGAAUUCGUUGUGUAGCGGUGAAAUGCAUAGAUAUGACGAAGAACACCGAUUGCGUGGGCAGCUGACCAGACCGCAAAUGACGCUCAUGCACGAAAGUGCGGGGAUCGAACAGGAUUAGAUACCCUGGUAGUCCGCACAGUAAACGAUGAAUACUUGUUUUCGGCGAUAUAAUGUCGGAGGCAAAGCGAAAGCGAUAAGUAUUCCACCUGGGGAGUACGCCGGCAACGGUGAAACUCAAAGGAAUUGACGGGG